AUUUGCAGUUGGCAUGCACCUUGACUUUUGAAGCUGUACAUGCUUCAUCUUGUGACUCUGGGAUCAACCAUCCAAAUCAGUAUUUCAUUGACAGCCAAAAGAUACUGCAGGCAAAGGUCACCAACAGCACUACUGUGAAGAAUGAAACGACUUGACAUUAUUUGGCACUCAGCAGCAUUCAGAUUUUUCCUAUAUAAGCCCCCACGAAAGCAAAUACAUUUGGGUGUUUUCAUCUCAACAGCAGGUAAAGAGACGAAAUUCUGAGUAAGCACCACGUAGUGGCACUUGGACAUUCCCCACCUAUGUCUCCAAUCAAAGUGGUAUGGUUAUUUUGUUAUUUUCCAUUUAUAUUAUGCUCAAAAAAGGAUGAAUUUCUGCACACAUGCACCUUUUUUAGAGUAUAUAGUCUUUAGUGUAAUUCCAAGUCUUGUUCUGACAAACAAAAACAAAAAUAACAGGGAAAAAUAUGGGAAAAUAGCAGACCUUAACCACGAAUUCUGUUUCUUAGGUCAUCAUUCUUGGUAAGGAAGUUUGUUAGUGUAUAGGAGGAAUAUUAGGUGGUUUAAUCAGGUCAUAUGUUUGAGCUGAAAGUACUUUAUAUGUAAAACUCAUGUAUUGCAUUUACAUCCCCUUGUUUAUUGGGGUUUUGCCACAUCUAUUAUUUGACUUAAAACCAGGUCUAUUUACUUCCA
Long non-coding RNA from Papaver somniferum (opium poppy), 692 nucleotides. RefSeq lists it as uncharacterized. NCBI's taxonomy places the organism in Eukaryota, Viridiplantae, Streptophyta, Magnoliopsida, Ranunculales, Papaveraceae. The transcript has 2 exons. The record is from RefSeq and is a predicted model, not a curated record.